Molecule: long non-coding RNA, 275 nt
Filed under: Phoenix dactylifera (date palm)
Lineage: Eukaryota; Viridiplantae; Streptophyta; Magnoliopsida; Arecales; Arecaceae
Description: long non-coding RNA (PDAC_LNC000856)
Source: RNAcentral
AGGAGAGAACAGGGGAAGACGGAGAGCUGGAGAGGAGGCGGGAAGCGAGGAGAGCACGGUCCACUUCAUCCUCCUCGGCGAUGAGGGGCGAUGGCAUUGUUGGAAUGGGAGGAUGAGAAGGGAGAGGGGUGCCUUGGAUCUAAUUUCACUCGCCCAUGGCAUCGGUCAUCGCUGUCCAUCGGCCGCCGCCACGGAGGUGGCAUCGCCGGCGGCUCUCCUCGGAGGAAGAAAGAAGAGGGGGCCGGAGAUGGAGCGAUGGAUUUCCGCCGUAUAAU